This 510-nucleotide ribosomal RNA is filed under the name uncultured Actinomycetes bacterium. RNAcentral describes it as "bacterial SSU rRNA". It matches the Rfam family "Bacterial small subunit ribosomal RNA", at positions 355 to 857 of the family's 1533-position model. The record is from RNAcentral. Lineage: Bacteria; Bacillati; Actinomycetota; Actinomycetes.
UGGGGAAUCUUGCGCAAUGCGCGAAAGCGUGACGCAGCAACGCCGCGUGGGGGAAGACGGCCUUCGGGUUGUAAACCCUUUCAGGAGGGACGAAGGUUCGGCGGUGAAUAGCCGACCGGACUGACGGUACCUCCAGAAGAAGCUCCGGCUAACUACGUGCCAGCAGCCGCGGUAAUACGUAGGGGGCAAGCGUUGUCCGGAAUCAUUGGGCGUAAAGCGCGCGUAGGCGGCCCUGUAAGUCCGUUGUGAAAGUCAAAGGCUCAACCUUUGAAAGCCGAUGGAUACUGCAGGGCUAGAGUCCGGAAGAGGCGAGUGGAAUUCCUGGUGUAGCGGUGGAAUGCGCAGAUAUCAGGAGGAACACCAAUAGCGAAGGCAGCUCGCUGGGACGGUACUGACGCUAAGGCGCGAAAGCGUGGGGAGCGAACAGGAUUAGAUACCCUGGUAGUCCACGCCGUAAACGAUGGGCACUAGGUGUGGGAGGUGUCGACUCCUCCCGUGCCGUCGCUAACG